This 739-nucleotide long non-coding RNA is filed under the name Setaria italica (foxtail millet). RNAcentral's name for it is "long non-coding RNA (SITA_LNC001166)". The record is from RNAcentral. Lineage: Eukaryota; Viridiplantae; Streptophyta; Magnoliopsida; Poales; Poaceae.
CACAGUUUUCACAAAUGCGUCCUGUUGCCAUGGCACCCUCUGUAGGUCCUCGCAUGCCCAUGUUUCCACCUGGUGUUCCUGGAGUUGGUCAGCAGCUGUUUUAUGGUCAGCCACCUCCAGCCUUUAUCAACCCUCAGGUAUUAUGUUGUUCACUUUUAUGAUGUAUAUAUAUGCUGCUUGGUGUAUAUGAUAAUUUAUCUUUAUUGACAUGAAAUCUUGUGUAGUGUGUGUACAAAAGAAAUGCUGAUAUAACCUCCUCAUGGUUUCCAUUUCUUCUAUUAAAAGCCUUAAAGAUUAAGAAGAAAUUAGCUGCUUAGUGUUUGCUCCAUGAAUUAGCUUAGCUGCCCCGCCCCCUCCCUAAUGUUUGCAUCCUAGCUCCAUCCCAUUCUUGACAUACACUUGCUUGUUGGCUUCUUUGUUGUGAAAGUUUGAUGAAUACAAAUGAAAAUUCAUUGUGAAUAAUUCUUUAUUGAUAGUUUAUAUCUUUUUUUUUUUACGUGAUGAACAUGAACCCAUCUGUUUUUUCUUAAUAUUUGUGGAACUGAUAAGUGUUGUGAUGUUUUGUUAGGCUGGGUUUGCCUUCCAGCAACCUCUGAUGCCUGGGAUGAGGCCUGGCGGUCCAAUGCCAAACUUUAUGAUGCCGAUGGUUCAGCAAGGACAGCAACCACAACGUCCUGCUGGUAGGCGUGCUGGUGCUGGUGGAAUGCAGCAACCCAUGCCAAUGGGUGGUCAGCAACAG